Long non-coding RNA from Amphimedon queenslandica, 984 nucleotides. RefSeq lists it as uncharacterized. The transcript is spliced from 2 exons. Lineage: Eukaryota; Metazoa; Porifera; Demospongiae; Haplosclerida; Niphatidae. The record is from RefSeq and is a predicted model, not a curated record.
AAUGGUAGGAAUAUAAGAGAUGUAAAAUAAUAGUCAAAUUUGGUAACAUAGGUGUGAUAAAUAUAGCCAAACAUCCAUAUCUCAUACGAUAUGAUACUGAGUAGAGAAAUAAUCUUGUGGAAGUCCUUAAAAGCUGAUCGACCCAAUCCUUUCUUAAUGAUAUCCCAAAUAAGUGACGUUGUAAUUAAUGUAACUAAGAGCCAAAUAACAACACAAACUACACCUGAAGAUUUUAUUUCUCCACGGCAUGCCAAAUUCUCCAAAAUUAUCUCAUUUUCCUUGCAGAGAGUUCUAUCUUGCUCAGGAUGUACAGUAAUGUGUGUCCUGAAAAGAAUUAGGUACGUCAAAACAACUAGAACAAGUCCUGUUGGGAUAGCCUUUCGUCUCAUAGCUAAAAUAAACAAAGCAAAAGCUAGGGUGUGGCUAAAUCAUAUUCACGUAUUGCCAUGAUGGGAACAUGAAACCCAUUAUGUAACAAUGCUGUAGAUGCCUCCUCUAUGAUUAACUGACAAUGACAUUAUUAUUGUAAUACUAGCAUGCAUUUACAGUGUAUAAAUUUGGCAUUGAUUAAUUUCCAUUCUAUUUAUUAUUUUACGUACCUAGCCCUUGGUAACCAGGUUGGUAAGAUAUACAUAUGGGACACCACACAGAAUGAUGUCAUCAAGGGACGUCCAUCAGUGAUACUCUCUUCAGCUAAAUGCUUCACUGCCGUGAGACAAGUCACCUUCAGCAACGACAGCAAGACUAUCAUUGGUGUGUGUGAUAAUGGAACUGUAUGGAGGUGGGAUGCUAAAUCAUAAAGAACCAAUAAUACACUCACACACAAACUUAUUGUAAUACACUGUAGAUCAGUAUACUGUGUAUACACCAUUAUUUUUCUAACAAACAAUGAUACAUUUUAAUUAUCAUUCACUGAUGCUAAAAGUAAUAGUGUCAUGACUUGAACUAAAAUUGAACAAUAAAAAGUUAUUUUGGUUUCUUGUG